RNAcentral lists this microRNA (25 nucleotides) under Culex quinquefasciatus (southern house mosquito). RNAcentral describes it as "cqu-miR-2941-2-5p". Lineage: Eukaryota; Metazoa; Arthropoda; Insecta; Diptera; Culicidae. The record is from miRBase by way of RNAcentral.
UGAAUUUCGCUGGAGUUCUGCCGGA